Rhea pennata is the source of this 1815-nucleotide long non-coding RNA. RefSeq lists it as uncharacterized. The transcript has 2 exons. NCBI's taxonomy places the organism in Eukaryota, Metazoa, Chordata, Aves, Rheiformes, Rheidae. The record is from RefSeq and is a predicted model, not a curated record.
UGCUGAGCCUUUGUAAGAAAAGGGAAAUGCAACGUGGGAGGAGUGAGGGGGAGGUUAUGGCUCUGCUGUUGUUAGAGACGCGGCUAAUGGCCCAGAGAUUUGAUAAAUAAUUCUGUUUCAUUUAAGCCUCGGGAGCUUCUAAUCGAAUUGCAUCACCUGUGGUUCGGCUGCUUUCUUUCAGGCCAGCAAGGAAGAGGACAAAAGCCCGACAGAAAACCCCGACCUUCACUACAACCGAGCGUGAAUGGAGGCUUUCCACGUCUGAGCGAGCCUUGUUAAAGGAAAGUGUGUUCCUUCUAAUAGCUCUUUCCCCAGAGAGCUGAGGACACGGACUGCUCCAGCAGAUGUGCCGGCGGAGGCAGAUGGGGAGGCUGACGAGGUUAUCGUGGGCAAAAAGAUUGGGCAGGGGAAGGCUAUGAAAUUUGGAGGGUUGAGUGCACAUUCAUACAACAUUGCCAACUUCAAUUUCUUGACACUGUUUUUAUGGAGACAUUCAAUUAAAAUCCCAUUCAUUCCGACAAGGCAGGAACCUAUAUUAUGCAACUGAUAAAGAGAAGAAAGUGCAUUAGAAAGAAAAAAAAAGCAUUCAGAGAUAUUACAAGACUAAGUAUGCUGAAGUUACUGAAAAUCUAACUCACACGGAUUAGAUGCUACAAUAUUCAGCCUGAUUGGUUCCUCUUUGGUUCCUUGACAUCCCCUGGAUGCCGCAGCUCUGAGCUCCUACUAGGGAACUGCAUGCAAUGCCCGGAGCGGGUUUGGUGCCUUAGUGUGCCACCAGCAAAGCCAACGGGCAGGCAGCCCCCUGGCCUAGCUAAGAGCCAGCAUAAAAAAAAAAAAAAAAGCUGCAGGACUUAAAUCCUGCACUUUCCCCAGAAUUAGGAGUCUUCCAGGGCAUGUUUUCAUUCACUCAGGCUUGGUAAGCUUGAGUUAAGCAACAGCUGAACAACAGUUUUGAAUACCCGCGUUCUCAAUUUAGCUAUUUGAAGCAGGCAUUUUGGUGAUUCUGCUGUGGAUUUAGCCAUUUGUAAAAACAUCAUGCCCUUUGCAUAAGGAAGCUCUGCAUCAGAUUUUUUUUCAAGUGUUUGAGCCCACAGUGGAUGCAGGUUAUUGGAGGUUCUCCAGGAUGGACUGUAAUAAACACUAACCAUUUAUUUUGGUGGCUGUAUACAUGCUCUUUAAAAAAAAUCCAGCCCUAGUUAUACCAGCUGAAGUUCUCUGAGAAUAAUCUGCUCAUAAAUAUCCCCUCGGAGGAGGUCGAAUAUGCCAGCCGUAUGUGGCCUUCAAUUUGAAGCUAAAUUUACUUUCCCUUCUUGCAUGUCAGACUAUUUGAAUUACUGAAAAAAUCAAAGAGCUGGAUGAUUAGUGUAGCAUACAUGCCCAUAUUUUGGUUGUAGUCAGCUAGUUUCAUAAAGAAAGCCACUCUUUCUAAAGGAAAAUAAUUCCUGGUUUAUUUAAUGAAUACAAACACUUUAUUUCCAAAAGCAUGAGAUUGUGCGAACAUGAUCAUUAUAAUCCAAUUCCAGAAGAACUAAGACAAAGAUCAAUCCGCUGAUCAUUCAUUAAGUACCUUAUGUGUAAAGUUGACUGUUCUGGUUUGCUAGCACCCUACAUUUUCAAAUUAAUAAGCCCUUUUUUCCAGAAUCUCAGAUUGAAUGAUGAAGCACUGAUCAUACUUGUGGCUUAUCAAACAGGGAAUCUUCUGACCGUUUUAUGUCUAAAUAAAGUUAAGUGAAAUAGUCAUCUACAAUUAUUUAAUGUGCAUGAAAUUAACAGUUAUUGGCUACAGAUUAUGAAAGAAAUAAGGUGUGCUGGAAA